GCAGUGGUGGCUCAGUGGUAGAAUUCCUGCCUUCCAUGCGGGAGACCUGGGUUCGAUUCCCCGCCAGUUCG
Transfer RNA from Loxodonta africana (African savanna elephant), 71 nucleotides. It matches the Rfam family "tRNA". Rfam says of the family: Transfer RNA (tRNA) molecules are approximately 80 nucleotides in length. NCBI's taxonomy places the organism in Eukaryota, Metazoa, Chordata, Mammalia, Proboscidea, Elephantidae. The record is from Rfam.